UCCCCCGUGAGGGGGCAGUCUCGCCUGACAAAUAUAACAGGCAACGAGGGUUGCGUUCGUUACCCCACUGAAGGGAACGAUUCAAACCACGAACUGACGACAGCCAUGCAUCACCUGUCCUACACCCUCGAAGGCUUCCUAGCUUUCGCUAGGCGUGCAGUAGGAUUUCUAACCCUGGUAAGGUUCUUCGCUUAGCGACGAAUUGAGCCACACGCUCCACCACUUGUGCAAGCCCCCGUCUAUUCCUUUGAGUUUUAGUCUUGCGACCGUACUACCCAGGCGGAUAACUUAACGCGUUAGCUUCGACACAGAGAGGGUCGAUACUCCCUAUAUCCAGUUAUCAUCGUUUAGGGCGUGGACUAC
This 363-nucleotide unclassified non-coding RNA is filed under the name uncultured bacterium. RNAcentral's name for it is "contains 16S-23S intergenic spacer region". The record is from RNAcentral.